Molecule: ribosomal RNA, 253 nt
Filed under: uncultured bacterium
Lineage: Bacteria
Description: partial 16S ribosomal RNA
Rfam family: Bacterial small subunit ribosomal RNA
Source: RNAcentral
UACGAAGGGUGCAAGCGUUACUCGGAAUUACUGGGCGUAAAGCGUGCGCAGGCGGCUUCUCAAGUCAGGGGUGAAAGCCCAGAGCUCAACUCUGGAAUUGCCUUUGAGACUGAGUGGCUUGAGUACGGGAGAGGUGAGUGGAAUUCCCAGUGUAGAGGUGAAAUUCGUAGAUAUUGGGAGGAACACCGGUGGCGAAGGCGGCUCCCUGGCCCGUAACCGACGCUCAUGCACGACAGCGUGGGGAUCAAACAGG